AGUCGUAACAAGGUUUCCGUAGGUGAACCUGCGGAAGGAUCAUUACUGAUUUGCUUAAUUGCACCACAUGUGUUUUUCUUUGAAACAAACUUGCUUUGGCGGUGGGCCCAGCCUGCCGCCAGAGGUCUAAACUUACAACCAAUUUUUUAUCAACUUGUCACACCAGAUUAUUACUAAUAGUCAAAACUUUCAACAACGGAUCUCUUGGUUCUCGCAUCGAUGAAGAACGCAGCGAAAUGCGAUACGUAAUAUGAAUUGCAGAUAUUCGUGAAUCAUCGAAUCUUUGAACGCACAUUGCGCCCUCUGGUAUUCCGGAGGGCAUGCCUGUUUGAGCGUCGUUUCUCCCUCAAACCGCUGGGUUUGGUGUUGAGCAAUACGACUUGGGUUUGCUUGAAAGACGGUAGUGGUAAGGCGGGAUCGCUUUGACAAUGGCUUAGGUCUAACCAAAAACAUUGCUUGCGGCGGUAACGUCUACUACGUAUAUCUUCAAACUUUGACCUCAAAUCAGGUAGGACUACCCGCUGAACCUAAGCAUAUCAAUAA
RNAcentral lists this unclassified non-coding RNA (543 nucleotides) under Candida albicans. Its description in RNAcentral is "sequence contains 18S rRNA gene, ITS1, 5.8S rRNA gene, ITS2, 28S rRNA gene". The stretch from base 185 to 338 matches the Rfam family "5.8S ribosomal RNA". Lineage: Eukaryota; Fungi; Ascomycota; Pichiomycetes; Serinales; Debaryomycetaceae. The record is from RNAcentral.